This is a small nuclear RNA of Bos taurus (domestic cattle), 155 nucleotides long. Its record names the gene U2. It matches the Rfam family "U2 spliceosomal RNA". From Rfam's summary of the family: U2 is a small nuclear RNA (snRNA) component of the spliceosome (involved in pre-mRNA splicing). Complementary binding between U2 snRNA (in an area lying towards the 5' end but 3' to hairpin I) and the branchpoint sequence (BPS) of the intron results the bulging out of an unpaired adenosine, on the BPS, which initiates a nucleophilic attack at the intronic 5' splice site, thus starting the first of two transesterification reactions that mediate splicing. NCBI's taxonomy places the organism in Eukaryota, Metazoa, Chordata, Mammalia, Artiodactyla, Bovidae. The record is from Ensembl.
AUCGCUUCUCGGCCUUUUGGCUAAGAUCAAGUGUAGAACUGUCUUACCAGCUCAAAGAUAAGGUGAUAUUAAAAAUAUUAAAAAUGGAAAUUUUCUUAUAAUCAUAGAUAUGAUAUACAUUUUUCUCACCCUGUCAUUGGCAGAUGGGCAUCCAA